UGGGGAAUAUUGCACAAUGGGCGCAAGCCUGAUGCAGCGACGCCGCGUGCGGGAUGGAGGCCUUCGGGUUGUAAACCGCUUUUGUUCAAGGGCAAGGCACGGCUUCGGGCCGUGUUGAGUGGAUUGUUCGAAUAAGCACCGGCUAACUACGUGCCAGCAGCCGCGGUAAUACGUAGGGUGCGAGCGUUAUCCGGAUUUAUUGGGCGUAAAGGGCUCGUAGGCGGUUCGUCGCGUCCGGUGUGAAAGUCCAUCGCCUAACGGUGGAUCUGCGCCGGGUACGGGCGGGCUGGAGUGCGGUAGGGGAGACUGGAAUUCCCGGUGUAACGGUGGAAUGUGUAGAUAUCGGGAAGAACACCAAUGGCGAAGGCAGGUCUCUGGGCCGUUACUGACGCUGAGGAGCGAAAGCGUGGGGAGCGAACAGG
Molecule: ribosomal RNA, 422 nt
Filed under: Bacillota bacterium
Lineage: Bacteria; Bacillati; Bacillota
Description: Firmicutes bacterium partial 16S ribosomal RNA
Rfam family: Bacterial small subunit ribosomal RNA
Source: RNAcentral